Molecule: ribosomal RNA, 1675 nt
Filed under: Escherichia coli
Lineage: Bacteria; Pseudomonadati; Pseudomonadota; Gammaproteobacteria; Enterobacterales; Enterobacteriaceae
Also listed under: 1 other name
Description: partial 23S ribosomal RNA
Rfam family: Bacterial large subunit ribosomal RNA
Source: RNAcentral
AUGCUGGAGGUAUCAGAAGUGCGAAUGCUGACAUAAGUAACGAUAAAGCGGGUGAAAAGCCCGCUCGCCGGAAGACCAAGGGUUCCUGUCCAACGUUAAUCGGGGCAGGGUGAGUCGACCCCUAAGGCGAGGCCGAAAGGCGUAGUCGAUGGGAAACAGGUUAAUAUUCCUGUACUUGGUGUUACUGCGAAGGGGGGACGGAGAAGGCUAUGUUGGCCGGGCGACGGUUGUCCCGGUUUAAGCGUGUAGGCUGGUUUUCCAGGCAAAUCCGGAAAAUCAAGGCUGAGGCGUGAUGACGAGGCACUACGGUGCUGAAGCAACAAAUGCCCUGCUUCCAGGAAAAGCCUCUAAGCAUCAGGUAACAUCAAAUCGUACCCCAAACCGACACAGGUGGUCAGGUAGAGAAUACCAAGGCGCUUGAGAGAACUCGGGUGAAGGAACUAGGCAAAAUGGUGCCGUAACUUCGGGAGAAGGCACGCUGAUAUGUAGGUGAAGCGACUUGCUCGUGGAGCUGAAAUCAGUCGAAGAUACCAGCUGGCUGCAACUGUUUAUUAAAAACACAGCACUGUGCAAACACGAAAGUGGACGUAUACGGUGUGACGCCUGCCCGGUGCCGGAAGGUUAAUUGAUGGGGUCAGCGCAAGCGAAGCUCUUGAUCGAAGCCCCGGUAAACGGCGGCCGUAACUAUAACGGUCCUAAGGUAGCGAAAUUCCUUGUCGGGUAAGUUCCGACCUGCACGAAUGGCGUAAUGAUGGCCAGGCUGUCUCCACCCGAGACUCAGUGAAAUUGAACUCGCUGUGAAGAUGCAGUGUACCCGCGGCAAGACGGAAAGACCCCGUGAACCUUUACUAUAGCUUGACACUGAACAUUGAGCCUUGAUGUGUAGGAUAGGUGGGAGGCUUUGAAGUGUGGACGCCAGUCUGCAUGGAGCCGACCUUGAAAUACCACCCUUUAAUGUUUGAUGUUCUAACGUUGACCCGUGAUCCGGGUUGCGGACAGUGUCUGGUGGGUAGUUUGACUGGGGCGGUCUCCUCCUAAAGAGUAACGGAGGAGCACGAAGGUUGGCUAAUCCUGGUCGGACAUCAGGAGGUUAGUGCAAUGGCAUAAGCCAGCUUGACUGCGAGCGUGACGGCGCGAGCAGGUGCGAAAGCAGGUCAUAGUGAUCCGGUGGUUCUGAAUGGAAGGGCCAUCGCUCAACGGAUAAAAGGUACUCCGGGGAUAACAGGCUGAUACCGCCCAAGAGUUCAUAUCGACGGCGGUGUUUGGCACCUCGAUGUCGGCUCAUCACAUCCUGGGGCUGAAGUAGGUCCCAAGGGUAUGGCUGUUCGCCAUUUAAAGUGGUACGCGAGCUGGGUUUAGAACGUCGUGAGACAGUUCGGUCCCUAUCUGCCGUGGGCGCUGGAGAACUGAGGGGGGCUGCUCCUAGUACGAGAGGACCGGAGUGGACGCAUCACUGGUGUUCGGGUUGUCAUGCCAAUGGCACUGCCCGGUAGCUAAAUGCGGAAGAGAUAAGUGCUGAAAGCAUCUAAGCACGAAACUUGCCCCGAGAUGAGUUCUCCCUGACUCCUUGAGAGUCCUGAAGGAACGUUGAAGACGACGACGUUGAUAGGCCGGGUGUGUAAGCGCAGCGAUGCGUUGAGCUAACCGGUACUAAUGAACCGUGAGGCUUAACCUU